AGGGUUUGAUUAUGGCUCAGGAUGAACGCUAGCUACAGGCUUAACACAUGCAAGUCGAGGGGCAGCGGUAUCGAAAGCUUGCUUUCGGUAGCCGGCGACCGGCGCACGGGUGAGUAACGCGUAUCGAACCUGCCUCAUACUCGGGAAUAGCCUUGCGAAAGUAAGAUUAAUGCCCGGUGUUUUCAGAGUCCCGCAUGAGGCUUUGAACAAAGAUUUAUCGGUAUGAGAUGGCGAUGCGUCCCAUUAGCUUGUUGGCGGGGUAACGGCCCACCAAGGCAUCGAUGGGUAGGGGUUCUGAGAGGAAGGUCCCCCACAUUGGAACUGAGACACGGUCCAA
This 337-nucleotide ribosomal RNA is filed under the name uncultured bacterium. RNAcentral's name for it is "bacterial SSU rRNA". It matches the Rfam family "Bacterial small subunit ribosomal RNA", at positions 8 to 334 of the family's 1533-position model. The record is from RNAcentral.